Molecule: long non-coding RNA, 211 nt
Filed under: Elaeis guineensis (African oil palm)
Lineage: Eukaryota; Viridiplantae; Streptophyta; Magnoliopsida; Arecales; Arecaceae
Description: long non-coding RNA (EGUI_LNC002140)
Source: RNAcentral
GGAGCAUCUGAGGAGGAUACUUGAAAUGAAAAGAGGUUCUCCUUGUCUUGAAACUCACUCUCGAAGGAGUCCCAGCGAUGGUCUAUCCAAGAGGGCUAGAAUCUUCUAAAAGACGAGUCGUGAAGAGAGAGCUCCUCGAGGAGAUGGAUGCUCAGCUGCCAAUAGAGUUUCGGCCUCCCCAAAGCUGCUCUCAAGAGUCCAGGAGAUCGGA